Molecule: long non-coding RNA, 765 nt
Filed under: Mytilus galloprovincialis (Mediterranean mussel)
Lineage: Eukaryota; Metazoa; Mollusca; Bivalvia; Mytilida; Mytilidae
Source: RNAcentral
GGGGGUGGGUCACCCCAUGGACUCCCCUUAUAUUUCAUUUGAUUAGUUAUAUAUAUAUAGUCCCAUACAUGAAUGUAUAUGGUUGAGAGGUGGGGAUCUCAUCCGUUUCAAAGUUAUCAAACAGGAGGGGGUAGAGUGGCCCAAAGGACGCCACCUAUAUAUCAUAUGAUUUGCCUACAUUCAGGUAGUUAUUUGUGAAAAUAAAGUAAGAAUCUUCCAGCUACUUUAACUGACCCUUCAAAAUUGAGAAAAAAAAAAUACCCCUUCAAAAUUGCAGUAAUAUGUUUACACUUUAAAAGCAUCUUACAUGCAUUAUCAACAUUUAUCACUGAUAAAGAAAAUUUAUACUGUGACCAGGAACAUAUAUAUUGUUAGAUAUACUGUUCCCAGCUGUCACAUUGUAUUGGAUUUUGACAUUAAAAUUUGUCAAAAGUAAUUUUGAGUUUCUGUUUAAAAUAUUUUCUGCUUUUUCUUUCUUUUACAUAUAUCUUUUGGUUUUCAAUUCUAGUGUUUAUAUUCAUUUACCAUGCAUAGAUGUAUUUUGUCACCUGCCUGGAUUCGCCAAAAACCCGGAAUUACCCUUAUCCGCUUCCGGAAUCGGAUCCGAAAUUGUAAUUGUCUUUUCACGGCAGCCAUUGUCAUUGUGUUCCAAUGUUGUUUUUGUCAGUCAGAUACGAUUUUACUCGUAUUAACACAUUUUUUUGUCGGCGAUUUUCUGUAUAUAGCUAGCGAUUGAACAAAAUUGACAUCGCUGUCAUGAAUAAU